RNAcentral lists this ribosomal RNA (252 nucleotides) under uncultured bacterium. Its description in RNAcentral is "partial 16S ribosomal RNA". It matches the Rfam family "Bacterial small subunit ribosomal RNA", at positions 524 to 776 of the family's 1533-position model. The record is from RNAcentral.
UACGUAGGGGGCAAGCGUUGUCCGGAAUCAUUGGGCGUAAAGGGCGCGUAGGCGGCUAUAUAAGUCUGAUGUGAAAGUGCGGUGCUUAACACCGUAAAGCAUUGGAAACUGUAUGGCUUGAGGACAGGAGAGGAAAGUGGAAUUCCACGUGUAGCGGUGAAAUGCGUAGAGAUGUGGAGGAACACCGGUGGCGAAGGCGACUUUCUGGACUGUAACUGAUGCUGAGGCGCGAAAGCGUGGGGAUCAAACAGG